This 554-nucleotide long non-coding RNA is filed under the name Equus caballus (horse). RNAcentral describes it as "lncRNA (ENSECAG00000051767.1)". The record is from RNAcentral. Lineage: Eukaryota; Metazoa; Chordata; Mammalia; Perissodactyla; Equidae.
AAGACACAAACAUACAACCUGGCUUCACCAACCUAGAAGUACAGCCACCUCCCAAGUUGUAACCUUCUCUAUCUGGAGCCGUGAGAACGUUACCUCUGUUUUGAGUAGAACAGUUAUCAAGAUAGAAAGAUAGAAAAUAUCCCUGUUCUCAAGGAUCUUGUAUACUAAUGAGGAGGAUAAAACAACGAAACUAAGAAAGUGGUAAGUGCUAUGAAGACAAGUAAACAGCGCAGCAUGAAGAUAACACAAUAAGUUAAAGCUACAGAAGAGAAGGAGUGCCACUCACAGUGUUAAAGGUAGACCCCACUAAGAAAAUGACAUUGAGCAGAGACUUGUAUGGUAAGAAGAAAAUGUGCAGAUGAACAUCUGAAACAGAGCGUUCUAGGCAAAGGGAAUGGCAAAGGCAAAGGCCAUUUUGAUGAGGCGGGAACAAAUGUGAUGUCUUUGAAGACUAGGAAAGGCUACUGCAGCUGAACACAGAAGACUCAGGGCGAUCCCAGCAGAGGGCUACUGGAAACCAAAGAAGAUGAGACAUGUCAAUUGCUGAUGAGAAG